UACACCUUAUAUCUUAACAAUUAACAGAUUGACACUCCAUUUGAAGAUAUCCCCGAAAACUAUAAGCAGGACGAAAGUCUGACAUCUCGGGUCAACUUCGUUUCUUCGCCGCCCCAUGAGCGUGUUGUCACGGCUGAACGAUCUGAUACAAGCGAUUCGCAGGAAUACUUAAAGUCUUUCUCUGGUACCACACCGCAGAAACUCUCCAGAAUGUCACGAACCCGGGAACGGGAGAUACUGGUAACACCACGGGACGUGCACAACGCGAGCACUAAAAUCCAGAACUUAAACUGGGAUAUCGAAACACAGACGGUUAGGUUAAAGAGAAAGUCAGACAAAUACUUGCAGGAAAAGUACCCAGAUCAAUACCAAAUAAUAAGACAGCGAUAUGAAGAAAGAAAACCAAAAAGUCCAUUCACAA
Long non-coding RNA from Exaiptasia diaphana, 421 nucleotides. RefSeq lists it as uncharacterized. The record is from RefSeq and is a predicted model, not a curated record. Lineage: Eukaryota; Metazoa; Cnidaria; Anthozoa; Actiniaria; Aiptasiidae. The transcript has 4 exons.